Molecule: long non-coding RNA, 5387 nt
Filed under: Gallus gallus (chicken)
Lineage: Eukaryota; Metazoa; Chordata; Aves; Galliformes; Phasianidae
Source: RNAcentral
CUCUGUCUAAUAGGUCUGGAUCCUGAUCACUGCCCCGUGAACAGGUGCUCUGUCAUGAUUUCAGCUGGGACAGAGCUGAUUUUCUUCAUAGUAUCUGCUGUGUGUUUUGGAUUUAGGAGAAUCAUGGAAUUGUGGAAUUGUUAGAUUUGAAAGGAACGCUAAAAGUCCAUCUAGUCCAAAUUCCCUGCAAUAAACAGAAACAUCUACAGCUAGAUGAGGUUGCCACAGAGCCUGCUCCAGCCUGACCUUGAAUGUUGAUAACGCAGUAAUGUUUUAGUUUUUGCAGAGCUGUGCUGCCCAGUGCUAUGGACGUUUCAGCUCUUCACAGUGCCCUGCCAGUAAAGAAACUGGGGAUGCACAAGGAGAUGGGAGAGGACAGACCCAGGAGAGCUGACCCAGGCUGGCUGAAGAGAUUUUCCUUACUAUGUGGCAUCAUAUGAAGUUAUAAAACUAGGGGAGUUGGCCAGAUUGUGAGCCCUAUUUCUAUAGAGGAUGCUGAUAGGCCUUUACAAGCUGAUCAACAUGAUAGCAUAUCUAUCUGUAAUGGAGGCAAGACUACACAGCCGAUUUGUACAUAUACUACAAGACAUUGAUUGAAUACUUUGUCCUGAAGUAUAAGCAAGAGGAAAGGAGGUCUCUUUUGCUUUAAAUUGUAAUUAAAAGUGAGUGAGGAAUGACUGAGGAAUAGGGGAGGUUGAAGGCUUUGUUUUCUUACCAUAUAAAAUCUGAAGCUCAAAAAUAUUCUUUUUCUCUUUUCUAUUUUUCAGGGUUAUUUUUAGAGUAAGCAAUAACCCUGUGGUGAUACGAGUGUUUUUUUGUGAUGAAGUGCUGAGACAUUUGGGGUUUGACCAGAAAUUCAGUCUAGGCUUCAGAACCUAUUGUGAAAAUCUCUUGUUGAGUUGCGGUUGGUUUUGAUAUGAACAUUUUCCAUAAAGGAAUGUAACAGUCCACUUUUAUUUUGACCCUUCUUCAUUUUCCUUAUGACCUCUCACUCUUACCAAGAUGGAUGCUCAGACACUGACUUCUACAGGUCAAGAGGAAACCACAAAAACUGUCCCUAUGCUAUUUGUUUAACCACUUCAGAGAUUUAGAAGAGAAUACGUCCAUUCGUACAAGUCAUGCUGGCUCUUUCAAAUCAGAUUGCAUUUGUCCAGGAAUUAGGUAAUGCUGUUCUUGCAUUCAUUUGUUUGGGUUUCUGCUAAUUUGCCUAGUGCAGGUGUACCAGUACUUUACCCUAGAGUUCCCAAGGUCUUUCUCAAAAAGAAGUGUGGUUUUCACACCUGAGGUACGAAAGCAGUUUUAAACAGGCACUUGCCCACUUAUAGGGGUUGAUAGCUCACCUAUAUCAUCCUUGAUUUCUCCUAGAACUUCUCAGGGAAUUAUGGGGAUGCGUUAAGAGUUUGUUCAGUAACUUCUACAGUCACUUAAAGUUUAAGACAUCUCCUGCUCCUUAUUCUCCACUAACGAGUUCCAGCACAGAAAUCUCCCCAGCUUCUUCCACAGCAAAUACUUACAAAAGGAAUCCAUUUAACUUCUUUGCAGUGGCUUGGCCAGGGCUUUCCCUCCUAGAGAUGUCUGAUCUUUAUUUUUAAAGUGUGUUGAGUACUUUGACUCUUUGGAGGAAUAGAAGUCACAAAUGUCAGGAAGAUCAAACAAAAAGGAUAGACAGGAAGAGCUGCAGGUGUCUUUAAUGUACUGAAUACCCUGAGGACUCAAGUACAGUGUGGUAUCAAAUAAACCUUACAUCAUAUGAAUCAAAAUGGGUAUGGACUCAGAGCAGCACUCUGGCUACUCUCUGGGUAUGUGCCUGUGGGUAAAUUUUUACCUGUCAUGUCAAAAUUUGGUGGCUCUCUUGUGGACAUAUGCCUGGGUGGUAAUCAGAAUAGUUGUAAUUUCAUAGACUACUCCACCUAGUGACUUUUUUUUUCAUGUGUGUACACUUGUGUGGAUCCAAAGACUAUAAUUUAUCAGUCUUGAGUGUACGGACAGUUUUAUUGUUUAUACCAACGGAAACAACAUGGCAUCUGUAGCUCUACAAUCAUCUAUAAUUAUUGCCGCAGCAUGUCUCUUCUAUUGUAGAUUGAAAUGCUUGCAAGAAAUUAGUGAAAAAUACACAUUUUUAAGUUUUCAGGUCCAUUUUCUUUAAUCAUCACCUCUACGGAUCUCUUCCACACAGUUUUUUCCAUUCCUGCUGCUUUUAUCUUGGUAGCAUUAUCUGUUUUUGCUUAUUGUUAGUCGUAUGACGGCAACCCGCUGGUUUUUCAAUGGCUUCCAACAGCAUUUAUUAUCUAGCACUGUUCUUCAAUCAGUAGAUCUCAGAAGCACAGUGCACUCAGGGGUACUCAGAUAAUGGGUUACAAUCAACGACAUUACAGAGAUGUGCUCUCCUUUCUUUCUGUAGUACUGAUUUGUGCAUUUGGCAGAGAGUCAUAAUACCAACAUUUGAAGUUGAAAUAGGGCUUUCUCUCUAAGGGUCCACAAAUGAUUUUCAAAGCACUGACGGAUUUGCUCUUUCAGAUGUGCUGGAGAGUUCAGUGUCUCCCAUUUACACUGGGAUUAAUGAUUCCCAUUUUGCAGGCAUGGAACUAAGAUUUCACCUUGUUUUAACAAAUCCGUAAUUGGAAAACAGGUUCUUUAUUUUCUAAGCGUUUCCCAAGAUUCCCUUGAUGGAGGACACACAGGACAGCUGUGGAGCUGGUAGAUUUCCCUGGAGCUGUUUGGAGGCAGAGGUGAAUUCUAUGUGAUGAGAGUGACAGAGUAACUUACUGUCUUUUCAGCUCAUCACAGCUGAAGAAUAAAAAGUCUUCUCCCGCAUCACAAAUCAGUGUAGAAAAGGUGGGUUGGCACACUGACCAGAAGGUAACAGGGUGCACCUUAGUGGGACUGUCUAUCUGAGAAGCACAAAAAGAAGAUGGAAGGCAAGCUGAGAGAUGGAGAAGCCAUGGUGACACAUGUAUGAGAAAUCAUGUUAACAGCAGUGCUGAUUACUGAGAAGCAGGAAAAGCAAUGACAUGUUGUCCUAUUGUCUGACUACCAAACGGUCCUAUUUGUCAGAAAUAUUUAGAUAGUCCUCCUCUACCCCACAGUAGAUUGAAUGUAGCCAGUGUCAACUGGAGAGGUACAGGGUCAAAAGAAUGGCACCUACAGCCAACUGUAAAGGAGGGCAAGGAAGAAGAUGCUGCUUCAGUUAACUCCCUGUUUGCCAGGAGCAAGAAAAAUAGUUUAAAGACUAUUAGGCAGAAGAAGUAAUAUUAAAAAUAAUGCAGGGGGUCUGUUCCACCUUAGAUAUUGGCAAUAUUCUAGCACAGCUCAGGGAAAUUUACCUAAAUACCAAGUGUUCUGCCACUAGUUAACAAAAAAAAGUAACAAAAAAACUUAAUUGAAGUAAUUUUCUGUACCUUCAUAAAAGUUAAUAGUGUACUGAGAAGCUUUCAGGCUACAAGUGUAUUUUAUAUGAAAAUUUUGCUUGGAAAAAUUAGACCUAUUUUAAAAUGCUUACAGAAGGCGAUACUAUUACCUUGUUGCUGGUUUGUUGUCUCAGUGAAUAUGGAAUACUCUUGGUUUAUAAAUUCAUCGUUCAUGCUGAAGUGAAGAGGAAGAACUCUUUCCCUGACUUCAUCGGCCAUUUUAUGCAAGUAACUGAGGAGAAUGCUGAGAUGGAUGUUCAGUUUGGUUCGUUCUGGUAACUUGUUCCAUUUGGAGGUCUGCUCUUUUUAAUUGAUGAAUCAUUAUUCUUUUUUCUCUGCCAAAAAAACAUUCUUCAUUUAACCCCUCAUCCUCUCCCAAUGCCUUGUGGCUUUUCUCUCUAGUACCACUGUAUCUGGUGGUCACUUAGGUACAGUCUCUGGACAGCUGUAGUUCUUACUUUAAAUAUUGUUGUCAGUGUUUGUGAUUUUUAUAAGAAAUGACAGAAACUAAAUGGGAAAAAUUUUCAGGGAGCUGUAUAACCAAUGUCUCUCAUCUGGGUCAGUGUCAGAAACAUCUGCAUUUCUUAAACAUGUCAAAAUAACUUGUCCAUAAAACCCUCCAGCUGACAUUUCAGUAUUUUCACGAGGGUUUAACUCCCUGGAUUACUAUGUGGUGUGCUGAGACUUUCUUAAUAUCUAACCUAAAUUUCCUUUACUGCAAAUCCACUGAAUUAUUAUUCUACUCUUCAAUGACAUUUGAUCACUAUCUUUUUUUUUACAUACACUGUACACUACUUCUAGGAGGAUCUGCUCCAUGAUCUUCCCAGGCACAGAGGUGAGGCUCACUGGCCUGUAGUUCCCCAGUCUUCCUUUCUCCCUUUCUUAAAAAUGGGAGUACUGUUUCCCUUUUUCCAGUCACCGGGGACUUCACCAGACAGCUAUGAUUUUUCAAAUAUGAUCGAGAGCAGCUCGGCAACCACAUCAGCCAUCUCUUUCAGAACCCUGGGAUGGAUAUCAUCUGGCCCCAUGGACUUACACACGUCCAAUUUCACGAGGAGGACUCAGAGUUGUUCCACUGUUACAGUGGGAUGGAAUCCGCUCCCCACACCCUCACCUAGAGUUUCAGAUAAGACAGACUUUCUUGUAGGCUUACUUUCCAGGUGUAUUCUGAGUACAAAAUGGGACUGUACAAAAGGCUUACUAAUAUCAGGGCAGUCUGCAUUGGUAGUUUCUUCCUUUACAUGAGAUUAGUCAGCUUUUCAAAGAAAGAGAUGAAAAGAUUUUUCGCAGCUUGUCCCUGAUAAAUGUAAUAUUGUUAAGGAAGGACCUGCUUUCAGAGUUAAUAACUGCACAGUGACAUCAGUCAAGAUAGUGGAGCAUCACCUUUCUUGGUAAGAAACUAGUAACUUUUAUCCAUUCUCAUCUUCAGACAGAUGUAGUUUUGACAUCCUCCUUCAGCUUAUUUUCUUGUCAGACAUAUACUAGCUGAACUACAGCCAUUUUCUGAAGAUGUUAGCCAGCCCAUAGAUGGUAAUGGAGGAUUUUCUAUUACCUUAGUCAGCCAGCACUCUUACUGAAGCCAAGAGCAGCUGAAAGCAUGUUUCCAUGCCAGCAAAAAAGAAUAAUUACUCACAGAAAAUAUUACAUCCUGACAGUUCCAACUGACAGUCUCCCAGUUCCAACUGACAGUCUCCCAACCCUGUGGCUUGUCUGUUUUAGCCUAUAUUGAUUCAGUUAACAGUUACUUUAUCUUGCAGUAACUGAGGUGGAUAUAAAGCUAUGUUGUCCAUAACAUUAAAUUAUAUAAAUGAUACAAAUGUGUCGAAAAUAUAUUUUUUAUAUUACAGACUUUAUAGUAAUAAAAACAAAUAAGGAAUUAAUGCUUUACAUACCUUUCCUGUUUUCCAUUAGCACAUACUUCCUUCACACAACAGCAGUUGCCCUUCAUUUCGUAUGACAAGAUGUAACAUUAAAGCCCAG